CCAUGCAUGUCUAAGUUCAAAUGGCCUAUAGAAGGUGAAACCGCGAACGGCUCAUUACAACAGCUAUUAUAUACUUGAUGUUGAUAUCCUACGUGGAUAACUGUGGUAAUUCUAGAGCUAAUACAUGCACCAAAGCUCCGAUUUUUUGACGAGCGCAUCUAUUAGAUUAAAACCAAUCGGGUUUCGGCCCGUCAAUUGGUGACUCUGAAUAACUAUGGCUGAUCGCAUGGUCUUGAACCGGCGACGUGUCUAUCAAGUGUCUGCCUUAUCAACUGUCGAUGGUAGUUUAUGUGCCUACCAUGGUUGUAACGGGUAACGGAGAAUAAGGGUUCGACUCCGGAGAGGGAGCCUGAGAAACGGCUACCACAUCCAAGGAAG
Molecule: ribosomal RNA, 378 nt
Filed under: Anisakis nascettii
Lineage: Eukaryota; Metazoa; Nematoda; Chromadorea; Rhabditida; Anisakidae
Description: SSU rRNA
Rfam family: Eukaryotic small subunit ribosomal RNA
Source: RNAcentral